Globicephala melas (long-finned pilot whale) is the source of this 1850-nucleotide long non-coding RNA. RefSeq lists it as uncharacterized. The record is from RefSeq and is a predicted model, not a curated record. Lineage: Eukaryota; Metazoa; Chordata; Mammalia; Artiodactyla; Delphinidae.
CCCAAUCUCCCAAUUCAUCACCACCAGCUCCCCUUUCCCCCCUUGGUGUCCAUACGUUUGUUCUCUACAUCUGUGUCUCUAUUUCUGCCCCGCAAACCGGUUCAUCUGUACCGUUUUUCUAGGUUCCACAUCCAUGCGUUAAUAUACGAUAUUUGUUUUUCUCUUUCUGACUUACUUCACCGUGGUUCUGAUUUAAUUGGUCAGUUUUUUAAAAGCUCCCCAGGUGAUUCAGUGGGCAGCAACCUUUGAGAACCGCUGGCAGGAGAAAGGGGAAAGCUGAUGGCUGUGGAGGAUCGGUGCCACUAGCGACUUGCCGUGCUUUUCCAGGCAUGGCAAGGGCGGUGGGAACAGCAACAGGGAGGCCGCGGAAGACCCAGUGACAGGACAGUGACCGUCGGGGUUUCCUGCCCGCUGGUGUGCGCGGUUGGACAGACACCGGCUGCGGAGGGACGCGGGGUAGCAGGCUUGUUCUCAGGAAGGAACCCCGUUGGUCCGGGUGCCGAGAGGGAAGCGCGGGCCUGGGCGCGAGCUGCAGGAGCUGAGUCACGGCCGACUGCUGGGUGCGUGGCCACAUGGCCCCAGGCGGAAGAGUGCGUCCCUUUCCUGAACCUGGCGUGUCUCUUGAGGAAGCCAAAGAGACAAAAGCCAGGGAGCGGUGGCUUCUGUUCUACAAAGCACACUACUCGUAACCCAUAACUGAGGUCACCCCAGCACUCGCACAGCCCUGAGCAGGAACCACCGUCCGUCCGCCACCCCCAUGCCACCUCCAAAGGGAUCAUGAUUUUGAGGCUGGAGGCAAAGCUCCGCGACAGGCUUGCAGUGACAUGGUCCAGGAAGGUUCCUCUAGAGCUGUCCCAUGUCCCCACACCUGCCUGAGUUUCAGGGCCUGUGAACCUGCUCUUGAAAUGCGUCCCUUUGAGCUCGAGUCCGCGAAGCCCCUCAGGAAUUGGAGUGAUGGCAGUGACUGGCCGUGUGCCGUGGCCGCGGGGAUGGCUAGGUGAGGCCUAUGGCCUGGGAAGAAGUCAUCCCAGCGUGCGAGGAGGGAGGAGCGGGGUGCUGGGACUUUCUGCGGAGAUCGCUGCUGCCGCCGUGAUCUGUUGUGGAGCAGUGGCUGGGACUCGGGCUCUGAAGCCUCCGAGCUGGGUCUGAGUGGCUAUGCCUCGUACUACUGUGUGGCCUGGGGUGUCCCGUGGCCUCUGGGGGCCCAGUGUCCUCAUCUGUCCUCGGGGAUACUGAGAGCGACCUCGUGGCUAAUGGUUAAAUAAGCUACUGUUGGUAGUGUGUCUGUCACUGAGUAGGUGCUCUGCAAAUGGAAGACGUUAUUGCUGUUAUCACACAAAUUAUAGCCAAAAAAUAAGUCAGUGACGAUGACUAGCCCGCUGUUCCGUCUGAAAUGGGUUACCGAUCUGGCGACCCUAUUUCUGGUGUCCCAGGGACGACCCCCCCCACCCCCCUACCCAGCCCUGCCGUCCUGCCGCCCAGCGUCUUUCUGGCUGUCCCCAGCCCUCCCUCCUCCCACCUCUGUCCCGGCCUGGCCCCAGCUUCCUGUCACCUGGACUCCAUCCAGUCUGAAAGGGCAAGAGAGCACGCGGCGCAACCAGGAGGACGCAGCCCCUGGAACGCCCGCCCUUCCCUGUAUCCUAUGUUUGUCUGCUUCCAACUCUUGGCCGUCUUGGGUCUCCAGCUGCUUCUCGCUUCCUAUCCCUUUUUUCUAACUUUUCUCUCUCUCCCCAUUCCGUGGUUCCCCGUGGCUCUCAUUAAACUCUAAUUAAACGAUGCAGCAGGUGGCAAUGACGACACCCUCUCCCAUCCAAGUGCUCCUCAAAGGGUUGUGCACGACACACCGGAGA